CCUACGGGAGGCUGCAGUGGGGGAUAUUGGACAAUGGGGGGAACCCUGAUCCAGCGACGCCGCGUGAGUGAAGAAGUAUUUCGGUAUGUAAAGCUCUGUCAGCAGGGAAGAAAGAAAUGACGGUACCUGACCAAGAAGCCCAGGCUAACUACGUGCCAGCAGCCGCGGUAAUACGUAGGGGGCAAGCGUUAUCCGGAAUUACUGGGUGUAAAGGGAGCGUAGACGGGUAAGUAAGUCUGGAGUGAAAGGCCGGGGCCCAACCCCGGGACUGCUCUGGAAACUAUUGAACUUGAGUGCAGGGGAGGUAAGCGGAAUUCCUAGUGUAGCGGUGAAAUGCGUAGAUAUUAGGAGGAACACCAGUGGCGAAGGCAGCUUACUGGACUGUAACUGACGUUGAGGCUCGAAAGCGUGGGGAGCAAACAGGAUUAGAUACCCUGGUAGUC
This 443-nucleotide ribosomal RNA is filed under the name uncultured bacterium. RNAcentral's name for it is "partial 16S ribosomal RNA". It matches the Rfam family "Bacterial small subunit ribosomal RNA", at positions 338 to 795 of the family's 1533-position model. The record is from RNAcentral.